RNAcentral lists this ribosomal RNA (532 nucleotides) under uncultured bacterium. RNAcentral's name for it is "bacterial SSU rRNA". It matches the Rfam family "Bacterial small subunit ribosomal RNA", at positions 8 to 518 of the family's 1533-position model. The record is from RNAcentral.
AGGGUUCGAUUCUGGCUCAGGAUGAACGCUGGCGGCGUGCCUAAUACAUGCAAGUCGAACGCGAGACGAGGGAGCUUGCUCCCUCCGAUCGAGUGGCGGACGGGUGAGUAACACGUAGGCAACCUGCCCAUCAGCCGGGGAUAACUGCGGGAAACCGUGGCUAAUACCGGAUAAACCUUUCCUCCGCGGGGAGGGGAGUUGAAAGACGGUUUCGGCUGUCGCUGAUGGAUGGGCCUGCGGCGCAUUAGCUGGUUGGUGGGGUAACGGCCCACCAAGGCGACGAUGCGUAGCCGACCUGAGAGGGUGAUCGGCCACACUGGGACUGAGACACGGCCCAGACUCCUACGGGAGGCAGCAGUAGGGAAUCUUCCGCAAUGGACGCAAGUCUGACGGAGCAACGCCGCGUGAGUGAAGUAAGGGUUUCGGCUACGUAAAACUCUGUUGUUAAGGAGGAAUGACAGGUAGAGUAACUGCUACCUGUGUGACGGUACUUAACCAAGAAAGCCACGGCUAACUACGUGCCAGCCGCCGC